GAUGAAGAACGCAGCGAAGUGCGAUAAGUAAUGUGAAUUGCAGAAUUCCGUGAAUCAUCGAAUCUUUGAACGCAAAUUGCACUUUCUGGUAUUCCGGAGAGUAUGCCUGUUUGAGGGUCAGUGUAAUAAAAAUAAAUCGUGGUUGUUACCACUUUUCGUGGUGACGCUUCGGAAUUGAGUCGUCUUACCUUCGGUUAAGUGACUUAAAAUUUUUUCAUACGAUUUCGAAACGUAUUUAAUGUAUUAUGUAUGUUCACGAAUAUCGAAUGUUUAUUAGUUGCGGUCAUUUUCAUGAAUCGUGUCUAUAAUUUUUUUUUUUGACCUCAAAUCAGGUAAGAAUACCCGCUGAACUUAAGCAUAUCAAUAAGCGGAGGA
Molecule: unclassified non-coding RNA, 375 nt
Filed under: soil metagenome
Description: partial contains 5.8S ribosomal RNA, internal transcribed spacer 2, and large subunit ribosomal RNA
Rfam family: 5.8S ribosomal RNA (bases 1-120)
Source: RNAcentral